AUGCCACCGCUGCCACUACCACCACCACAACCACUAUCACCGUCACCACGACAAUCAGCACUAUUAUCAUCACCAUCACCACCACCAUCAUCACCACCACCACCACCAUCACCACCACUAUCACCACCUCUACCACCACCACCCCCUCCAUCACCACCACUAUCACCACCUCUACCACCACCACCCCCUCCAUCACCACCACCACCUCCAUCAUCACCACCAAUACCACCACCACCACUACCAUCCCUAUCACUACCACCAUCACUACCACCACCAAUACCACCACCAUCACCACCACUACCACCACCAUCACCACCACCACCACCACCAUCACCACCACUACCACCACCUCUUCCACCACCACCCCCUCCAUCACCACCACCACCACCACCUCCAUCACCACCACCACCACCACCUCUUCCACCACCACCCCCUCCAUCACCACCACCACCACCACCACCAUCACCACCACUACCACCACCAUCACCACCACCACCACCUCCAUCAUCACCACUACCACCACCUCUUCCACCACCACCCCCUCCAUCACCACCACCACCACCACCUCCAUCACCACCACCAAUACCACCACCACUACCACCACCACCACUACCACCACCAUCACUACCACCACCUCCAUUAGCACCACCACUAUCACCAACACCACUACCACCACCAUCACCACCACCACCACCACCAUCACCACCACUACCACCACCAUCAUCACCACCACCACCACCAUCACCACCACUAUCACCACCUCUACCACCACCACCCCCUCCAUCACCACCACCACCUCCAUCAUCACCACCAAUACCACCACCACCACUACCAUCCCUAUCACUACCACCAUCACUACCACCACCAAUACCACCACCAUCACCACCACUACCACCACCAUCACCACCACUACCACCACCAUCACCACCACCAUCACUACCACCCCCUCCAUCACCACCACCACCUCCAUCACAAGAAUUUGCCCCACCAUCAAGGAAGACUGGGAAAUGGAGUAUCUGUCCUCUUCAGUGUCCCGAUGUAUAUGUUAGGGAAUUCUCUCAACACAGGUAG
RNAcentral lists this long non-coding RNA (1071 nucleotides) under Canis lupus familiaris (dog). RNAcentral's name for it is "lncRNA (ENSCAFG00030024446.1)". Lineage: Eukaryota; Metazoa; Chordata; Mammalia; Carnivora; Canidae. The record is from RNAcentral.